CGCGUAGGUGGUUGCGUAAGUCGGAUGUGAAAUCCCCAGGCUUAACCUGGGAACUGCAUCCGAUACUGCAUGACUCGAGUGCAGCAGAGGGAAACGGAAUUCCUGGUGUAGAGGUGAAAUUCGUAGAUAUCAGGAGGAACACCGGUGGCGAAGGCGGUUUCCUGGGCUGACACUGACACUGAGGCGCGAAAGCGUGGGUAGCAAACAGGAUUAGAUACCCUGGUAGUCCACGCUGUAAACGGUGAGUGCUGGGUGUGGGAGGUGUAAUGCCUUCUGUGCCGAAGCUAACGCGUUAAGCACUCCGCCUGGGGAGUACGGCCGCAAGGUUGAA
Molecule: ribosomal RNA, 331 nt
Filed under: uncultured bacterium
Lineage: Bacteria
Description: bacterial SSU rRNA
Rfam family: Bacterial small subunit ribosomal RNA
Source: RNAcentral